RNAcentral lists this transfer RNA (51 nucleotides) under Rusa unicolor dejeani. RNAcentral's name for it is "tRNA-Ala". Lineage: Eukaryota; Metazoa; Chordata; Mammalia; Artiodactyla; Cervidae. The record is from RNAcentral.
GAGGAUUUAGCUUAAUUAAAGUGGUUGAUUUGCGUUCAAUUGAUGUAAGAU